This is a non-coding RNA of Dallia pectoralis (Alaska blackfish), 76 nucleotides long. Lineage: Eukaryota; Metazoa; Chordata; Actinopteri; Esociformes; Umbridae. The record is from the annotation of a GenBank genome assembly.
GGAGGAGUUGGAAGCUCAGUGGGUGAGCGCAUGCUUUGUAGGUAUGGUGUACUGGGUUCAAUUCCCAGCUUCUCCC